This 3283-nucleotide long non-coding RNA is filed under the name Sus scrofa (pig). Its description in RNAcentral is "lncRNA (ENSSSCG00000059788.1)". The record is from RNAcentral. Lineage: Eukaryota; Metazoa; Chordata; Mammalia; Artiodactyla; Suidae.
AAGAAUGAAUGAAUGAAUGUGAUGCCUUCAAGUCGAUUUACAAUAGUAUCCUGAGCAAUCCCAGUAAUAACUGUAGAGGUCAUAAAAAUGAGAGAAAUAGUAAGAGCUAGGGGAAAAUUAUCUACAAAUCUUUAGCUAAAAGACAACUAUUUUCUUAUUCCUUUUGUUAAAUAAUAUACUUUGGCAUUUGUUGCUCAUAAUUAAACAGCAAAUGCUGUGUUUUACAUGGAGAUAUACUGAUAUCUUGUGAAGAGAACAGAUUAAUGUAAUGUUUUGCUACCUUUGACCUUGUAUCCUUGAGUCUCUUGAUUCUAUGUCACCAAACAUAGCUCUGUAAUAGAGUUGAGGUCCAGCUAAUAGUGUGUGCUAUUCUGACUGUCAUGCUCCAUCAUUGUAACUUACUGCAUGAGGUCCCCAAAGUGGUCUCGUGAGCACAUGUGCACAAGCACGCACAUGAGCGCGCACGCCCACACAUACACACAAUUCUCAUUGGCAGAAUCAAGUUGUAAUCAGAGAAUGCUUUUAAAUACAAAUUCUUCAUUCAACUCAUUAAAAAGUAAAUCAGCUUGUUCCAAGGCUGAGUUCUAAAAUGUUAUGUUCAAAACGUAUUUAAAUCCACCUCCUUUAUAAAGUUUAUCAGAAAGAGAUAGUCACAAAGCAUCCACGUCUUUUCAGUUUUUGCAUUAUGCCAUUAUGGCAAAGUGCUAUCAAUUUACAUUUCAAUAUUCUUUUCAGCCUAGAAAUAUCAGGAUUUGUAAAGACAGUAAGUACUCUAUGACGUUUAUGUUUCUUGAAAUUGUCCUCCUUAGACGACUGAUUUUUUCAAAAGAAAACUUAGAAAUAAAUUAAAUUAUUUAUAAGCUAAAUAUAUUAAAUAAGCUACCUCCUCCCUACCUACUUCCAUGUUCCCAUAUAGGAAUAAAUGUAUGAGGAAGAGAUUUUCCUUCUAACUAAUAAGGAAAUGAUAUGAAUUUCAAGCAACUAAGCAUUACCCCAAAGCUAUUACCCAACUCUUCAAACUUUCAGAAGGGAUUAAAAUUCCUUAGGAAUGCUGCCAUCUUCCAGUGAGUCUUAAAAACGUAAAUGAGGGGAAAAGCUGUAACUGUUUCUAAGAGAAAGGAAUACCCAAGAAGUUGUUUGCUCUUAAGCAGCCUAUCCCAAACCCAUUAUGGGAUUUUAAAUUCCCAUCCUCUGCCUCUUCUCCCAUCUCUCACCCUCUUCCCUCUCCUCCUUCCCUCCCCCUCCCUUUUCUUUCCCCUUUCCUUUCACCUCUCCAUGCUCCAGCCUCAUUUUAGGUGCUGAAUUCAUUAGACUUUAAUGAGCAAUUUCCACUAUCUGGAAGAGUGUCUUUGAAUAUAAUUUUUGGACAAGAUCAUUUCAAUUCCAAAUAUUAUCCCAGAUAAUUGAUCCAAUAGGUCAAACAUUAUUUUUAAGAAAAAAAAAAUCAUAAGAUAAGCAUUGGUUAUAACAAUCUAUUUGAAAGUAUCACAAAUAUUUCACUUUGGAAGGAAAAAUAAGAACAGUUGCCAUUUUUGUCACUUCACACACGCACAUUAUAUAGUUAGGUGCACAAGCGAAUUUGAAAGAAAAGUUGUCAUGUAUCACUAUAUUAAUUUGUUAACACCAACCAUGAAUUAGAAAUUAAAACAGCCAUAAUAGCCAUUUGGGGAAAUGUUUCUGUCUAAAUCUUAUGUAGAAUAGAAAGAGUAAUUUUUAGCCAAUGACAUUUUUAUUUAAAUUACAUUUUAUAAAAAUUUUAAACAUACAUUUUAUUUUACAUUUUUGCACCUGACAUUUUACUAAUUUAGAUUUCAAAUUGGAAGUAUGAUGGUUAUUUGCAUAAACUGAAAGUUUGGUAUAAAAAAUAUCUUUAAAAGUUUGGAAAUAAAAAUGUAGUAUUACUGGGUUAUCAUAGUAAAAAUGGGUUAAAUGUUCUUCCUAAAAUGACCUACCUAGAUACAUGUGAGGCCAUCUGACAGAUCAAUAUAUAUGUAAACAGGAUAUCAGAUCCCAAAUGCAAUUAGAACAUCAGAUUGGAGAUUCUUUAUUCUACAAUUAAAACAGAAGACUUAAACGGAAAAACAGCACAUUUCCAAUUAAGUCAACUAAGUACAAGUUAGUUACUUACUACCAUGUUCCAUUUCUAAUAUAGUAGCUUUGUUGGCACGCUUUAGGGAGUAAAUAUUUACCCAGAGAAAUGUAAUUUCCUUUUCAUUUAUUUAGAAACUGCAUGAGCUGGUCUCUGCUUUCUAAUUUUCUCUUUACUAGUUAAGAUAGUAGAGAGAUUUCUCAUUUUCUUCAUUUUGAUAUUAGAAUUGCAUAGUUGAAUUUGUGUAUAUUUGAAGGAGAAAGAUAAUUCUUCCUAAUGUUAAUUAGAAAAUUUCCUUCUUACUUUCACUAUACGUUUUUAAUUAAAAAAUAAACCUUGAUAUAACAUUGAUGCUUAUUUCCAAAGUUAUUUUGAAUUAUUCUGAAUAACAUCUGCUGAUGAGAAGCACUCAAAAAACUUUCAUGCCGAUAAAUGUAAUUACUAAUAAUUUCAUCAUGAUUGCUAUGACUACAAUUUACUUAUUCUUAAUUUAUAUUUAUAAUGAACUGCUUCACUAAAAUGACAAAUGAUUCCAUUAGUUAAGAAACUAAAAUGUCAAUUUACAUGUGGUCUUUGGUGACUAAUUUGCUGAGUUGAGGUUUUUGUUUUCGUUAUGAUAAUAAUAUUUGGCUAUGCUCUGUGAGCAAAAUUUAUGAGGUCUUAAAUAUUAAUCUUUCAAUUUACUGAAACAAGGUAAUUUUCAGCUUUAAAAUGUUAGCAGUUUCCCUUUCAGUGUCCUGAAUACACAAGUUUUAGGCACAAACUUCUGCAACAAUGUCAUCCAAAAAAUAAUGCUCACUUUGUUCCCUAGGAUCAAAACAAUUCCUUUUCACUAAUGACUGCAAAUAUCAGCUCAUUUCUAACACAGUUUCCAGUGGCCAACAUUACUCAGUUGUCAGUAAAAGAAAAGGGAUUACAUCAGCAUUCAGGGGGAAAAAAUGUUCUGUUCCUUCUUAUUCCAUAGUCUAUGUUCAAUCAGCCUGGAGCUAAUGGAAGCCCUCCAGUGCUGAGAAAUAAACAAACACAGUUGGGCAAAUAGUCCAAAAUCAAAUCUAGUAUAUAAGGUGGACAAUACAUAGUUAGUUCCAUUACAGAACCCUCCCUUGGGAGCUGGAGCGGCUUCGGAGCCCUUCUCAUUACACACCAGCACCAUCUGUAGCCAGCCUGAGCCUGAUUUGGGAAUGUAUAAAGCUC